Long non-coding RNA from Monodelphis domestica (gray short-tailed opossum), 906 nucleotides. RefSeq lists it as uncharacterized. The record is from RefSeq and is a predicted model, not a curated record. NCBI's taxonomy places the organism in Eukaryota, Metazoa, Chordata, Mammalia, Didelphimorphia, Didelphidae.
CCAACUCUGAGUCGCAAAUGCUUAUUUCACAAGAAUGUCAUCGCCCCCUAGUGGUGAAGACCCCAUUCCCCCGGGAAGUCCUGCAGCCUCCCCUGCUAGUAAAUCUACUUGUUACUUAUUUCUUUGCCUUGGCUGGCGGAGGAUCAGGAAAAACCAUGGUUUACAGAAACCAGAAGCCAAACUGGGCUUUUGUUGAUCCCGUUGCCUGGCGGACUAUUUAAUAUCGAAGAGACAUUGAUUGAAUCCAGCUGGAUCACUUUUACAGGAAGGAACCCCUUAGAGGGUAGAGUCCGCUUCAUUUCUAGUGCUUGGCACAUUUCAUUGAAUAAAUUGCUGAUUGAUCAAUCGAUUGAUUGAUCGAUUAUAUAAAGAGUAUCAUAGAGCUUCGGGCAGAAACGACCUCGGAAGAAUGUAGCCCAGAUCCCUCAGGGUCCCAAUGAAGCAAAUGGUUCCCUCGCACAUGACGCCAGGUCCCCAUUUCUCGCCCUCUCCCCUCUCCUUCCUGCCCCAGACUCUGAGACCCGGAGACGCGUUCCUGAGGAGCAGAGAAAUUACUCCAAGAAAAAGGGUCCACAAAUGUAGUGGGGAGUCCCAUUGUGAGAAUUCCCUUUCCCCAGACAGAUGGCAGCCCAUCUCUAACCUACCAGAGAACCCUAGAAAGUUGUGUGAAGACUUCUAAUGGGCUCAGCCCUCUCUACACAUCUAUCUAUCUAUCUAUCUAUCUAUCUAUCUAUCUAUCUAUCUAUCUAUCUAUCUAUCUGUCUGUCUGUCUGUCUGUCUGUCUGUCUGUCUGUCUGUCUGUCUGUCUAUCUAUCAGUGGAUGGAGAUGCUUUUGUGAUGAGCAAAACACAGAUUUUAAAUGUAUGCUAAUUGGAUUGUCAAUUAAAUUCUCAGUCUCUUGCCAUU